AUUGAACGCUGGCGGCAGGCCUAACACAUGCAAGUCGAGCGGAGCGGCGGACGGGUGAGUAAUGCUAAGGUCUGUGCCUGGUAGUGGGGGAUAACGUCCGGAAAUGGGCGCUAAUACCGCAUACUAUUAGCUUAGCAUGUGUCGGAUUAGGAAGAUGGUGGGGUAAAGGCCUACCUUGGCGUCGAUCCGUAACUGGUCUGAGAGGAUGAUCAGGCACACUGGAACUGAGACACGGUCCAGACUCCUUCGGGGGGCAGCAGUGGGGAAUAUUGGACAAUGGGCGAAAGCCUGAUCCAACCAUGCCCCGUGUUUGAAGGAGGUCUUCGGAUUUUAAAGCUCUUUAAGUUGGGAGGCGUUACCAACCGAAUAAGCAACGGCUAACUUCGUGCCAGCCGCCGCGGUAAUUC
RNAcentral lists this ribosomal RNA (407 nucleotides) under uncultured bacterium. RNAcentral describes it as "partial 16S ribosomal RNA". It matches the Rfam family "Bacterial small subunit ribosomal RNA", at positions 30 to 526 of the family's 1533-position model. The record is from RNAcentral.